This 491-nucleotide ribosomal RNA is filed under the name uncultured bacterium. RNAcentral describes it as "partial 16S ribosomal RNA". It matches the Rfam family "Bacterial small subunit ribosomal RNA", at positions 29 to 506 of the family's 1533-position model. The record is from RNAcentral.
AGUGAACGCUGGCGGUAGGCCUAACACAUGCAAGUCGAACGGCAGCACAGUAAGAGCUUGCUCUUACGGGUGGCGAGUGGCGGACGGGUGAGGAAUACAUCGGAAUCUACUUUUUCGUGGGGGAUAACGUAGGGAAACUUACGCUAAUACCGCAUACGACCUACGGGUGAAAGCAGGGGAUCUUCGGACCUUGCGCGAUUGAAUGAGCCGAUGUCGGAUUAGCUAGUUGGCGGGGUAAAGGCCCACCAAGGCGACGAUCCGUAGCUAGUCUGAGAGGAUGAUCAGCCACACUGGAACUGAGACACGGUCCAGACUCCUACGGGAGGCAGCAGUGGGGAAUAUUGGACAAUGGGCGCAAGCCUGAUCCAGCCAUACCGCGUGGGUGAAGAAGGCCUUCGGGUUGUAAAGCCCUUUUGUUGGGAAAGAAAAGCAGCAGGUUAAUACCCCGCUGUUCUGACGGUACCCAAAGAAUAAACACCGGCUAACUUCGU